Taeniopygia guttata (zebra finch) is the source of this 1684-nucleotide non-coding RNA. The record is from RefSeq and is a predicted model, not a curated record. NCBI's taxonomy places the organism in Eukaryota, Metazoa, Chordata, Aves, Passeriformes, Estrildidae.
GGGGCCUGGGGACACGGGGGUGCCACCCCGGGGCCACCUGGUUCCGUCCUGGGUUCUGGGCAGGCCAUGAGAGCCCUCAGCCUUCCUGGGUUCUGCCCUGGGUUCUGGCAGGCCAUGAGAGCCCUCAGCUCCCCUGAGUUCUGUCCUGGGUUCUGGCAGGCCAUGAGAGCCUUCAGCCUUCCUGGGUUCUGGGUGCCCUCAGCCUUCCUGGGUUCUGGGCAGGCCAUGAGAGCCCUCAGCCAUCUGGGUUCUCCUCUGGGUUCUGGGCAGGCCAUGAGCCCUCAGCUCUCCUGGGUUCUGGCAGGCCCUGGCAGCCCUCAGCUGUCCUGGGGCCUACCUUGGUUCUUCCCUGGGUUUUGGGCGGGCCCUGGGAGCCCUCAGCUGUCCUGGGGCCCACCUUUCCUCUUCCCUGGGUUCUCCUCUGGGUUCUGGGGGCCCUCAGCUCUCCUGGGAUCCACCUUUCCUCUCUCCUGGGUUCUGCAAAUCCUGUGAGCCCUCAGCUCUCCUGGGGCCCACCCUCCCUCUCUAAUGAGUUCUCCCCUGGGUUCUGGGCAGGCCCUGGGAGCCCUCAGCCCUCCUGAGGCACACCCUCUUUCUCUCCUGGGUUUUCCCUGGUUUCUGGGAAGGCCCUGGGAACCCUCAGCUCUCCUGACUUCUCCCCUGGGUUCUGGGCAGGUCCUGACUUCGUUCUGGGCAGGUCCUGGGUUCUCCCCUGGGUUCUGGGCAGGUCCUGACUUCGUUCUGGGCAAGUCCCGGGUUCUCCCCUGGGUUCUGGGCAGGCCCUGGGGGCCCUUGGCUGUUCUGGGGUGCUUUGCUCCCUUGUUUGGGGUUGUUGAAAGCCCCUUUGCAGCUCCUCUGCCCUGCACCUUUGUGGUGGGGCUGGCUGCAGUGGCAGGACUCUCCCUGCAGUGUGCAGCUGACUCCAAACUUUCAGCCCUGGAUCCUUCUGGAGGUGCCUCCUGCAGCCUGGAGCUCCUGGAAAGCAGCACUGAGGAGUUUUGUUCCCCUGGGAGCAGUGCUGGAGUCGGGAGGGAGAGCUCAGAACCUGCUCCUUGUGCUGUGCUUUUGUUUGAAUCUGUUCAGGGUAACUGCUCUGCAAACUGCAGCAGCUGGUUCCAAAAGCUGUGAAGCAAUCUGUGAUCAAAUAGAAAUAUGUAUGAAAUGCAGGUUUGGUUUAAAAUAAUUACUCAUCCUCUGAUAACUGGAAGCUGUAGCAGAAAAAAUGUGUAGUUAAAGCAGGCUUUAUGGCUGCCUAUGCAACACCUUCUAACUCUGUUAAAUGUAGCUCUGCUGAAUUCCAGCUUCCAAGAGUUUAUUCCACAUUUCACGGGCCUAAAAAUCAGGGAGCAGUCAGAGCUAAUGAGUGCUUAAAAAAUAGGAAAGGUAACCAAGUGUUCUGGAGGGAAGAUAUGGCACUGAGUAACAAAUUAGGGAAUAACAUCUGGUUGUAAAUAAUCUAAAUGCAGUUUUAAAAACUCUGCUUCUGUUCUAAUUGUUACCCUGAUUUUUAUCUUGUGAAUUAAUCCUGGGAAGGGCUCCCUCUUCCUCCCUGUUGGCUUUGGGUAUGGAAGAAAAGCCUUUCUCUUCUGUUAGUGACUUACCCUGGGAAUUGCUCCCUCUGAGGGAUGAGCUUUAUCCUGCCCACAGUUUCAGCCUCACUUCAGCUGCUCUGCCUUUAAACAAA